UGGCGGACGGGUGAGUAAUGUCUGGGAAACUGCCCGAUGGAGGGGGAUAACUACUGGAAACGGUAGCUAAUACCGCAUAACGUCGCAAGACCAAAGAGGGGGACCUUCGGGCCUCUUGCCAUCGGAUGUGCCCAGAUGGGGUUAGCUAGUAGGUGGGGUAAAGGCUCACCUAGGCGACGAUCCCUAGCUGGUCUGAGAGGAUGACCAGCCACACUGGAACUGAGACACGGUCCAG
RNAcentral lists this ribosomal RNA (235 nucleotides) under uncultured bacterium. Its description in RNAcentral is "partial 16S ribosomal RNA". It matches the Rfam family "Bacterial small subunit ribosomal RNA", at positions 96 to 334 of the family's 1533-position model. The record is from RNAcentral.